AUUGAACGCUGGCGGCAUGCUUUACACAUGCAAGUCGAACGGUAACAGGCCUUCGGGUGCUGACGAGUGGCGAACGGGUGAGUAAUGCAUCGGAACGUGCCCAGAGGUGGGGGAUAACGCAGCGAAAGCUGUGCUAAUACCGCAUGUGAUCUGAGGAUGAAAGCGGGGGACCAGGCAGCAAUGUUUGGCCUCGCGCCUUUGGAGCGGCCGAUGUCAGAUUAGGUAGUUGGUGGGGUAAAGGCCUACCAAGCCGACGAUCUGUAGCUGGUCUGAGAGGACGACCGGCCACCCUGGGACUGGAACACGGCCAAGACUCCUACGGGAGGCAGCGGUGGGGAAUUUUGGACAAUGGGCGCAAGCCUGAUCCAGCAAUGCCGCGUGCGGGAAGAAGGCCUUCGGGUUGUAAACCGCUUUUGUACGGAACGAAAAGGCUCUGGCUAAUACCUGGGGCUGAUGACGGUACCGUAAGAAUAAGCACCGGCUAACUACGUG
Molecule: ribosomal RNA, 492 nt
Filed under: uncultured bacterium
Lineage: Bacteria
Description: partial 16S ribosomal RNA
Rfam family: Bacterial small subunit ribosomal RNA
Source: RNAcentral